CAUCAAUAAAAUUAACACAUGUGUAUGCGAUUUCCUAGGCAGACGGCACUUGGGAAGAACACACGCCCGGCCCUUAUGUAGCUGAAAAUAUCUUGAUUUUCAUUGCCCUUUGCUUGCUUGUUGAUUGAUUAUUUGCUGUGGACGGCACACGCCCUAGAGCAGUCCCUUUGCAAACCUUUUCCUGGAGACGGCAGCCACAGGGAACCUUCAGGGAGAGACCCAUGCUGACAUCCAGCCAGGCUGAGGGCAGAACCCAGGGAGCCCAGCGGAACCUCUGCAGCAGAGCCCCGCCAGGGGGCCCAGACCUCACCAUGCUCCAGCCCGCACUUCUCCUGGGUGUCGUCUCUGAUCUUCGCGAUGUCCUCUGCUGGCUUCUACGAGGUCGGCACCGACCCCACAGACAGCUCGAUGGGCUUCAUUGGGCGACUCAGUGAGGAGAAGGCAGAGGACGAGGGAGGCACCAGGUGACCCAAGGCCGCCCCGAGACAGCAGGGCAGCGUGUUUAGCACAGGGCCGGCAUCGAACAGCAGCAGCCCAGCAGCAGACUAAAAUCUCCUGACUGAAAGCUGGGAAGAGAAGCAUCAAGACGGUGUCCCGAGUGGGUCUUGAUUAAUAGGAUGAACGCUGGAACUCAGAAGCCACAAGGACUCAGUCAUGGCCGUGACAGCAGCUUGGCCACGUGCCCAGGCGGUGACUUCCAGGCCACCACGGAUGGCGCGGAGCAGCCUGCGGGGGGGAGUUGUUUGCUGGCUUGAAACCAGUGGUUCCUGGGUUUAGAUCAACAAUUUACUCAUGAACCUCUUCAGCUGAUGCUUAGGUCAGGGCAGGACCCUGCUUGUGAUAUAACCUGGCUUCUAUCUACCAUGUUCACAGAGCUAGAAAUUAGAGUAGAGAAAAGUUUCAAUUAUUUAUUUGUUAAUUCAUUAAAAAUUGAUAAUAACAAAGCCAUUACAUUUUAGCACUGGCAGCAUUUCUUUUGGAGACAGGGUCUCACUAUGUAGCUCAGGCUGGCCUUGAACUCACUCUGUAGCCCAGGAUGGCCUCGAAUGCAC
This 1052-nucleotide long non-coding RNA is filed under the name Heterocephalus glaber (naked mole-rat). RNAcentral describes it as "lncRNA (ENSHGLG00100027838.2)". Lineage: Eukaryota; Metazoa; Chordata; Mammalia; Rodentia; Bathyergidae. The record is from RNAcentral.